AGUUUGAUCCUGGCUCAGAAUCAACGCUGGCGGCGUGCCUAACACUUGCAAGUCGAGCGAGAAAAGGGGGGCAACUCCCUGAGUACAGCGGCGCACGGGUGAGUAACACGUGGGUAAUCUGCCCUGAAGUGGGGAAUAACACCGGGAAACCGGUGCUAAUACCGCAUACGAUCACGGAGUCUGUGGAUUUUGUGAUGAAAGGAGCAAUUCGCUUUAGGAGGAGCCCGCGGCUGAUUAGCUAGUUGGUGAGGUAAUGGCUCACCAAGGCUACGAUCAGUAUCCGGUCUGAGAGGACGGUCGGACACACUGGAACUGAGACACGGUCCAGACUCCUACGGGAGGCAGCAGUGGGGAAUUUUUCGCAAUGGGGGCAACCCUGACGAAGCAACGCCGCGUGGGUGAUGAAGUCUCUUGGGACGUAAAACCCUUUCGACGGGGAAGAAACCGCAAGGUUGACGGUACCCGUAGA
RNAcentral lists this ribosomal RNA (469 nucleotides) under uncultured Acidobacteriota bacterium. RNAcentral's name for it is "bacterial SSU rRNA". It matches the Rfam family "Bacterial small subunit ribosomal RNA", at positions 10 to 485 of the family's 1533-position model. Lineage: Bacteria; Pseudomonadati; Acidobacteriota. The record is from RNAcentral.